AAAAACAUAGCUUUCUGACCUAAUAAUAGAAAGUUUAUUCUGCCCAGUGAACAUUUAAACGGCCGCGGUACCCUGACCGUGCAAAGGUAGCAUAAUAACUCGCCUCCUAAUUAGAGGCUGGAAUCAACGAACGCACGUGAGCUUAACUGUCUCCAUCUAAACCCCAAAAACUUAACCUCCAGGUGAAAAGGCCUGGAUCCAACUAAAAGACAAGAAGACCCUAUCGAGCUUCAUUACCUUUUCAGUAACUCUAAACCACUAAGUGAACUUUUCAUUACUGAAAACUAAUUUAGUUGGGGCAACUAAGGAACCUCUCAAGCUUCCUUUAAAUCAUUAUUCACUAAUCAAAGACCCAGUCCGUCUGAUCAAAAGAAUAAGCUACCGUAGGGAUAACAGGUUAAUUUUUCUCGAGAGCCCACAUUAACAGAAAAGUUUGACACCUCGAUGUUGGCUUAGGUUAUCCCGUUAGUGCAGAAGCUAACAAAGGUGGGUUUGUUCAACCCUUAAGAACCUACGUGAUCUG
This 523-nucleotide ribosomal RNA is filed under the name Notopygos kekooa. Its description in RNAcentral is "partial 16S ribosomal RNA". It matches the Rfam family "Archaeal large subunit ribosomal RNA", at positions 1901 to 2676 of the family's 2987-position model. Lineage: Eukaryota; Metazoa; Annelida; Polychaeta; Eunicida; Amphinomidae. The record is from RNAcentral.